Molecule: transfer RNA, 74 nt
Filed under: Chloroflexota bacterium
Lineage: Bacteria; Bacillati; Chloroflexota
Also listed under: 1 other name
Description: Chloroflexi bacterium (wastewater metagenome) tRNA-Val
Rfam family: tRNA
About the family: Transfer RNA (tRNA) molecules are approximately 80 nucleotides in length. Their secondary structure includes four short double-helical elements and three loops (D, anti-codon, and T loops). Further hydrogen bonds mediate the characteristic L-shaped molecular structure. tRNAs have two regions of fundamental functional importance: the anti-codon, which is responsible for specific mRNA codon recognition, and the 3' end, to which the tRNAs corresponding amino acid is attached (by aminoacyl-tRNA synthetases). tRNAs cope with the degeneracy of the genetic code in two manners: having more than one tRNA (with a specific anti-codon) for a particular amino acid; and 'wobble' base-pairing, i.e. permitting non-standard base-pairing at the 3rd anti-codon position.
Source: RNAcentral
GGGCGGUUAGCUCAGUUGGUUAGAGCGCUACGUUGACAUCGUAGAGGUCAUAAGUUCAAGUCUUAUACCGCCCA